Molecule: long non-coding RNA, 1341 nt
Organism: Gallus gallus (chicken)
Lineage: Eukaryota; Metazoa; Chordata; Aves; Galliformes; Phasianidae
Source: Ensembl
GAAGCAUCAGUGAAAGAAAAAUGCUGUAUUUGGAGAUUGCGUUGCUUAUUUCUUAGUGCAUCUGAAUAGGCCAAGUGAAGUCUUCAGGGUCAUCGUUUCUAAAAUCACAAAACUCAUUAUAUGAGCAGUAUCACCUGGUAGAGAAAACGUUGAGGAGAGAUGCUUAGCAUGGGUUUGUGCACCAUUUGACUGCAGAUCAAAGCAGUCUGCUGAGGCAAUAUACAUACAGGUAUAUUCAGGGUAAUCUACUUCUCUUGUGAUGAUGAAUGUGUAGAUAUCAAAAAAUGCACAGCACAGAUCUGACAAAAUACUGCCCUCCAACUCCCUGACUCUGCAAACAAUUAAACUGGUGCUCAACUUCACCAAUAUGAAUAGUCUUCCUGACAUCAAGGAGACUGCUUAUUUUCAGAAACUUAACUGUUAAGAAACUUAGCAUAGAUGUUGGUGGGAUGGAGGCCAGAGCCCUUCAGCCAGUGCUUGUUCUCGAGCUGCCUGUCGCUUCUCUUCCAGUGAGAGAACGGAUGAGAAUCGUGCCCAAGGAGGAGCAGGGGGAUGCUUUAGGCCUUUGUGGGCUAAAUCUGCUGUCCUCUGAAAUCUGCAGACAGAAUGCCAUUAGUAGAGGGGGCCUUACAUAAGGUGCUUCACGGACACAUAAAAUACUUGCAAGCUGGAUGUGAGAGCAGAGUAUGAGCUAGCAGAGAACUAAGGUCUUCAUAACACUGGGAAUGCUCUGCAGUUAGAAACCUGUGUGUUGAUAGAUAUCGCAAUGAUCUCAGACAGACAGAGGUCCAGAGAAGCAAAGUAACUGAUGCUGAUUGUAGAUGGCUUUGCAGCUUUGUGUACUUCAAGUCUCUGUCAGUGUAUUUGAAGCGUAUUUGUUUUAAGGUACGACAGCUUACAGAGAGAUCACCAAACGGUACACAGCAUGGAACUUAAACUAUUUCGGUAUCAGGCACUAAUCCCUCUUUUGAUUUGCACAUUAAUUUCCUAUGUACGUGACUAAAAAUACUGUAUUGUUAUAAAUGAGAGGAAAAAACCACAGUGGUGUUUGUAAGUAUGUUCUGUUUGUAGACUUAAGGCUGUAUUAUGUUGGAAUUUUACAAGCCAAGUUUAAACUGUAAUAUAGAAAUUAUUUUUAUAUUAUUUUCAAAAUAUGCUACAGAGCAAUAUUUUGCGCCUUUAUUAUAAACAGGGUCAUCAUUUUAGUAGGUUACCUUCCAAAGUGCUGGUAGAAAUUAACCACGAAAAGAAAGCUUUGUAAAAAUGUGUGUGUUGUUUCUAACUGCUGUCUGUUGUGCACAUCUAUGUCUAAUGAGAGUUGAAUAUACAGUUUUUUUUUCU